UAAACAGGUACAUCCUACCCCAUGCAUGGU
Molecule: non-coding RNA, 30 nt
Filed under: Homo sapiens (human)
Lineage: Eukaryota; Metazoa; Chordata; Mammalia; Primates; Hominidae
Source: RNAcentral